RNAcentral lists this ribosomal RNA (480 nucleotides) under uncultured bacterium. Its description in RNAcentral is "partial 16S ribosomal RNA". It matches the Rfam family "Bacterial small subunit ribosomal RNA", at positions 28 to 507 of the family's 1533-position model. The record is from RNAcentral.
GAUGAACGCUAGCGGCAGGCCUAACACAUGCAAGUCGAGGGGUAGAAGGAGCUUGCUCCUUUGAGACCGGCGCACGGGUGCGUAACGCGUAUGCAAUCUACCUUGUACAGGGGAAUAGCCCAGAGAAAUUUGGAUUAAUGCCCCAUAGUAUAUAACCUUCGCAUGUUGGUUAUAUUAAAGUUCCAACGGUACAAGAUGAGCAUGCGUCCCAUUAGUUAGUUGGUAAGGUAACGGCUUACCAAGACGAUGAUGGGUAGGGGUCCUGAGAGGGAGAUCCCCCACACUGGUACUGAGACACGGACCAGACGCCUACGGGAGGCAGCAGUGAGGAAUAUUGGUCAAUGGUCGCAAGACUGAACCAGCCAUGCCGCGUGCAGGAAGACGGUCCUAUGGAUUGUAAACUGCUUUUAUACAGGAAGAAACCCUCCCACGUGUGGGAGCUUGACGGUACUGUAGGAAUAAGGAUCGGCUAACUCCGUG